This 512-nucleotide ribosomal RNA is filed under the name uncultured bacterium. RNAcentral's name for it is "bacterial SSU rRNA". It matches the Rfam family "Bacterial small subunit ribosomal RNA", at positions 19 to 518 of the family's 1533-position model. The record is from RNAcentral.
AUGGCUCAGGAUGAACGCUAGCUACAGGCUUAACACAUGCAAGUCGAGGGGAAACGAUAUAGAAAGCUUGCUUUCUUAGGCGUCGACCGGCGAAUGGGUGAGUAACGCGUAUCCAACCUGCCCCUGAGUAAGGGAUAGCCCAUCGAAAGAUGGAUUAAUACCUUAUGGUCUCCUUUGCAGACAUCUAAUUAGGAGUAAAGAUUUAUCGCUGAGGGAUGGGGAUGCGUCUGAUUAGCUUGUUGGCGGGGUAACGGCCCACCAAGGCAACGAUCAGUAGGGGUUCUGAGAGGAAGGUCCCCCACAUUGGUACUGAGACACGGACCAAACUCCUACGGGAGGCAGCAGUGAGGAAUAUUGGUCAAUGGACGGAAGUCUGAACCAGCCAAGUAGCGUGCCAGGAAGACUGCCCUAUGGGUUGUAAACUGCUUUUAUACGGGGAUAAAGUCAGGGUCGUGACCCUGUUUGCAGGUACCGUAUGAAUAAGGACCGGCUAAUUCCGUGCCAGCAGCUGC